Molecule: long non-coding RNA, 5866 nt
Filed under: Daucus carota (carrot)
Lineage: Eukaryota; Viridiplantae; Streptophyta; Magnoliopsida; Apiales; Apiaceae
Description: long non-coding RNA (DCAR_LNC006845)
Source: RNAcentral
AGGGCCGGGACUGUGGACUCGAUGGGAGGUUCAUUUGAGUUGGGUCCUAGCAUGAGUAUGAGCCAGGCGUUCGGGCUUGGCAUGGCACUAAGUUCUGGACUUGGGGCUUGAGAUGAAGUUGGGCACUUGCAUACAGUUGAACAGUCAGGCACACUUGGCUUAUGGGAGUCAGGCAGCAUGGCGCAAGGGUGAGAGAGGCAGGUUUGGGUGUGACUUGAACAAGGGCACGGCCGGCUCAAGGGAGAGUCAACAUCCACCACGAGUCCUCCAUGACACAGAGGCGACAUGGGUGAAGAGUUCCUAUUGGGUCAGAGAUAGUGGGCUCUCCUGGAUAGUGGAUCGUGAUGGGCUUGGGUCAGAGUUGAAGCCCAUGACAAGGGCGACUAGGUUCGAUGUAUGUGUUAUACACUUAUACAUAUCUUGUAAUGAAUGGCAUAUCUCCAAAUAUGGAAGGAGGAGAUAUGACAUGUCAUAAAAGAUAUGGGAUAAGGAGAAGCUUCUAGAAUGUUGGAGAAGAUCAGGAGCAUGAUUUGGCAUAUCUCUUAUUCAAGGAAAGAAUCGAGGAUGAGUCAGCAUAUCUUGAAGAUCUCAGCAUUUAUGGAGAAGAUUGGAUGGGCCUUAGGCCAUCCCAAAAGCCCGUGACUCGACCUAUAUAAGGAGGAGCAACUUCAUUCUCUUCAUUCAUUCAGAGUUGGAGAGCAAUCACUUGUAGAGAGAAGUGAGAGCAAAUACAGAGAGAGCUACUUAGAGUUCUAGAGAGAGAAAGAGCUUUGUAGUAGGCACUCUUGUAUUCUAGCAGUUAGUGGGUAGCUGGUCCCAAUACAUAAGGACAGCUAGCCUAGAUUGUUAGGACCUUUUUGUGUUAAUAAAAAGGUUGGGGGUUUCCCCGAAUAUCGUGGCUCUUGUGGUUCUGUUGUUUAUUACUAACCCCUUUUGUAGGUUGGGUUAGCUGCGCAUUGCUGGCCAAGCUCUAGGAGUAGAGUUGGCGCAUCACUUAGGCGAAAAUUUUAGCCGUCUUAGUAUGCUUCCGCACGCCUUCGUGACAUUUGGUAACCAGAGCCAGGUUCGUGUCAAAACUUGGUUGGAGUUAUGGCUGGUCCUACAGUUGCUGCACUUAGUGACCGGGUUGCUGCACUUGAGGCUUUGAUUGGUGCCCCGCCGACUGAUGCGGAGCCUUUGGAGGAACGGUUCGCAGUUGUGAGGUCUGAUAUUGAUAAUAAUAGACGGGUCCUUGAGAAUCACAUGAUGGAAUCUGAAGAGAGAUUUGCUCAGUUGGAGAAAUCUUCUGCAGAGCUUUGUGAGGAGGUGACUAUCUUGAGGAAGGCUGUGGCUGUUGGGGGCAAUACCUCGGGUGACAACGGGAGAAAGAUAAAGGUGCCUGAACCUAAGUCAUUUGAUGGGGGUAGAGAUGCCAAGGCAUUGGAAAAUUUCUUGUGGGAUAUGGAGCAGUAUUUCAAGGCGGCUCAUAUUCCUGACGGUGAACAAGUGACUGUGGCUAGUAUGUAUCUUGCUGGUGACGCUAAGUUGUGGUGGCCUACCAGGAUGGUUGAUUCUGAUGGCACAGAGAGGCCUAAGGUGGAGACUUGGGAGGUGUUAAAGAAGGAGCUCAAGGAGCAGUUCUUGCCUCUUAAUGCUGCAUGGGUGGCUAGGGAGAAGCUCAAGCACUUGAAGCAGACGGGCACUGUGCGAGAAUAUGUGAAGGCAUUCACUUCUUGCUUGUUGGACAUUCGUGACAUGGCGGAGACGGACAAGUUGUUCAACUUUGUUUCAGGUUUGAAGCCAUGGGCAAAGGCUGAGCUAAGGAGACAUAAUGUCAAGGACGUGUCGGCGGCUAUUAUAGUAGCAGAUGGCUUGGUGGAUUAUAAUUUUGCAUCAGGUUCUAGUGACAAGGGGAAGAAAACCUCUGGUGCAAGGGAAAAGUUGCAAAAGUUGAAAUCCAAGGGCAAAAAGAAGGUCCAAGACGGGGAUCAAGGCAAAGCCAAAGUCAGUGGAGGGCAGACAAAGAAGCCGUUGCGGUGUUAUAUUUGUGAAGGUCCUCACGUGAUGAAGGAUUGUCCUAAGAAGGAGAAGCUGAGUAGCCUACGGGAGGAAAGUGGGGAGGAACCUACAAGGGUGAAUCCACUUCGUAUGUUGAAUGCACUACAGACAAAGGAAGCUGUGAAGUCCUCUAGUUUGUUAUAUGUGCAAGUGGCCAUCAAUGGACAUGAUGUGAUGGCGAUGGUAGACACGGGUGCUACUAAUAACUUCGUGGCUGACAGGAAUGUGGAGUUUCUGGGCUUGGCUUUGAAAGCAAGCACGAGCCGCGUCAAAGCUGUGAAUUCUGAGGCCCAGUUGAUCAAAGGGUCGUCACAGUCGGAUAUCACAGUUGGAUCUUAGACGGGUAAGGUGAAUCUCUUAGCUGUUCCCGUUGAUGAUUUUGAUGUGAUAUUGGGGAUAGACUUCUUGUUGAAAGCUAAGGCUUCUGUGAUGCCACAUAUUGGUGGGUUGAUGAUUGAGGAUGCAAGCAACCCUUGCUUUGUGAAGGGUGUGCUAGGCAGGGACUCUGGGAAGAAGAAGACCGAACUGUUAUCUGCUAUGCAGGUUGAAGCAGGGUUGAAACGUGGUGAGGAGACAUUUCUAGCUGCCCUUGUGGAGGUGAAACCGGAUCAACAUGUUGAAGUUCCGGAUGCUGUUGCUUCUACACUAAAGGAGUUCGAAGAUGUCAUGCCUCCGGAGUUGCCAAAGACAUUGCCACCAAGGAGAGCUGUGGAUCACAAGAUUGAACUUGAGCCGGGUGCACGGGCUCCGUCUCAAGCCCCUUAUGGGAUGGGACCUAUGGGGUUGGCUGAGCUGAGGAAGCAGUUGGAUGAACUUUUGGAGUGUGGAUACAUUCAACCGUCAAAAGCUCCUUAUGGUGCCCCUGUCCUGUUCCAGAAGAAGGCUGAUGGGUCGUUGCGAAUGUGUGUGGACUAUCGGGCCAUGAACAAGGUGACUAUCAAGAAUAUGUACCCUGUUCCAAACAUCACGGAGCUAUUUGACAGACUCUCCAAGGCCAAGUACUUUACAAAGCUGGAUCUGAGGGCAGGAUAUUGGCAGGUUAGGAUUGCAGAGGGGGAUGAAUCUAAGACCGCAUGUGUCACUAGGUAUGGGUCUUAUGAGUUCUUAGUUAUGCCAUUUGGUUUGACAAAUGCACCCGCUACAUUGUGCAAUCUUAUGAAUGAUGUUCUAUAUGAGUACUUGGAUCGGUUUGUGGUUGUAUACUUGGAUGAUAUCGUGGUCUAUAGUGAUAGCUUGGAGGCACAUAUAGAUCAUCUAAAAUGCAUUUUCACCAAACUGCGAGAACACAAUCUUUAUGUGAAGAAGGAGAAGUGCGAGUUCUGCAGGGAGGAGAUUCAUUUCCUUGGGCAUGUCAUUAGCCAAGGAUUGGUGAAGAUGGAUUCGAAGAAAGUUGAGGCCAUCAUCGAUUGGCCUGUCCCUAAGAAAGUGGCAGAGUUGAGAUCUUUUCUUGGCCUUGCGAAUUACUAUCGCAAGUUUAUUCAGGGUUACUCAAGGAGGGUGAAUGUCUUGACGGAUUUACUGAAGAAGGAUCAUAUCUGGGACUGGAAUGCUGAGUGGCAGGCGGCGUUUGAGGAUCUGAAGGUUGUUGUUUCUUCAGAGCCUGUGCUCAAACUUCCAGAUUUUGGAGUACCAUUUGAGUUGCACACUGAUGCUUCUGAUCGUGCUGUUGGUGGAGUGUUGGUUCAGAUGGGACACCCGGUGGCCUAUGAAAGUAGAAAGCUGAAGGAUGCUGAACAGAGGUACAACACCCAUGAAAAGGAGAUGACGGUUGUGGUGCAUUGCUUGGAGACAUGGCGGCAUUACUUGUUGGGAGCGAAGUUUGUGGUUUGCACCGACAAUGUGGCAAACACAUACUUCAAGACCCAAAAGAAGCUGACCCCGAAGCAGGCCCGUUGGCAGGAAUUUCUGGCUGAGUUUGACUUUGUGUGGGUACACAAGCCGGGGGCACAAAACCAGGUGGCAGAUGCUUUGAGCAGAAAGGUGCAAGAGUCAGUGGUAUCUUUGUCGGUUGUGCAAACUGAGUUCCUAGAAGAGAUCAGGCAGCAGUCCAAGACAAACAUCGUGUAUCUAAAGCUUGUGGAGGAGGUGAAAGCAGGCGUGGUUCGUAAGUAUUGGCUGGAGGAUGGGCUACUAUACGCUAAGGGUAGUAGGCUCUUUGUACCUCAACGAGGAUCACUUCGGCAGCGAAUCUUGAAGGAGUCUCAUGAUGCCAAGUGGGCAGGACACACGGGAGUAGCAAGGAUGCUAGCAUUGCUUGGUAGAUCCUACUACUGGCCAAAGAUGUUCGAUGAUAUUGAGGCCUAUGUCAAGUCUUGCUUGGUGUGUCAGCUUGACAAGACUGAAAGGAAGAAGGAAGCUGGACUUCUUCAACCCUUGCCUAUUCCAGAGAGACCGUGGCAGUCUGUGUCGAUGGAUUUCAUUCUUGGAUUUCCUCAGGUUGAUGGAAAGGGAUCAAUCUUUGUGGUGGUUGAUCGGUUCUCGAAGUAUGCUGUGUUCAUCCCCGCACCGAAGGUAUGUACAGUAGAUGUGGCAGCUGGCCUUUUCUUUCAGCACGUUGUGAAAUAUUUUGGGUUGCCCGAGGAUAUUAUCAGUGAUCGUGAUAGCCGAUUCACGGGAAGGUUCUGGACGGAAUUGUUUGGGUUCUUGGGAAGUGAGUUGAAGUUUUCUACUGCAAAUCACCCCGAAACAGAUGGUCAGACCGAGCGCAUGAAUCAGUUGUUGGAGGAAUAUCUCAGGCAUUAUGUUUCAGCUAGUCCGAGGAAUUGGCUAGAGUUGGUUGAUGUAGCUCAGUUUUGCUACAACUUGCAACAGUCUUCGGCGACUGGCAAGAGCCCCUUCGAGGUGAUUUUUGGAGUUCAACCUAGAACCCCAAACGAAGUGGCUAUACAGAAAUCUGGUGGAGCAUGUCCCGCCGCUUACAGGUUUGCUCUUGGGAGACAAGAGAUGGUACAUGAAGCCCAUUCUAGUCUUGAGAAAGCUUUAAGGAGGAUGAAGAAGUAUGCUGACCAGAGGCGUCGUCCCUUAGAGUUCGAGGUCGGCGAUCAGGUGUUAUUGAAAUUGACACCACAGAUUUGGAAGAAGAUCAAAUCUAGGAAGAUCCACAAAGGGCUCGUUCAGAAAUAUGAUGGUCCCUUUGAGAUCGUGAAAAAGGUGGGCACGGUGGCUUACCGCUUGAAGUUGCCAGAUAGGUUGAAGUUGCAUCAUACAUUCCAUGUUAGUUUCUUGCAGCCGUUCCAGCCAGAUUUGUUGCUUGAUGGGAGAAAGCAAAAGAAUCGGGCACUUCCAGUGAUAAGGAAACAGUACGAAAAGAAGGUGAAGAAGGUUCUCAAUCAUUUGACUCAAGGGAUGAGUAAGAAGAAUAGGAGGACUGAUUACCUUGUACAGUGGGAGGGCGAGGACGAGGCCGAUGCUACUUGGGAGAAGGGAGUAAACCUAUGGCAGUUUGAGGACCAGAUACGGGAGUAUUGGGAUCACCCCUCGAUGAGGACAUCGAGUUCUUUCGGUGGGGGUGGUUUGCUAGACCCUUAAGCGGCGUCUAAGACUCGGGCUAAGGGCCGGGACUGUGGACUCGAUGGGAGGUUCAUUUGAGUUGGGUCCUAGCACGAGUAUGAGCCAGGCGUUCGGGCUUGGCAUGGCACUAAGUUGUGGACUUGGGGCUUGAGAUGAAGUUGGGCACUUGCAUACAGUUGAACAGUCUAAGCAUGGGGCAGAGCAACAGAGACCGAGUUUGGGUUCAUGAGUUCUAGUGGCACACUUGGCUUAUGGGAGUCAGGCAGCAUGGCGCAAGGGUGAGAGAGGCAGGUUUGGGUGUGACUUGAACAAGGGCACG